UACGUAGGGGGCAAGCGUUGUCAGGAUUUAUUGGGCGUAAAGAGCGUGUAGGCGGCCCGGUAAGUCCGCUGUGAAAGUCGGGGGCUCAACCCUCGAAUGCCGGUGGAUACUGUCGGGCUAGAGUGCGGAAGAGGCGAGUGGAAUUCCUGGUGUAGCGGUGAAAUGCGCAGAUAUCAGGAGGAACACCAAUUGCGAAGGCAGCUCGCUGGGACGUAACUGACGCUGAGACGCGAAAGCGUGGGGAGCAAACAGG
This 253-nucleotide ribosomal RNA is filed under the name uncultured bacterium. Its description in RNAcentral is "partial 16S ribosomal RNA". It matches the Rfam family "Bacterial small subunit ribosomal RNA", at positions 524 to 776 of the family's 1533-position model. The record is from RNAcentral.